CAGUCGCCGCGGUAAAACGAACCGUGCGAACGUUAUUCGGAAUUACUGGGCUUAAAGCGCGUGUAGGCGGGCCGCCACGUCGGCCGCUGAAAUCCCCCGGCUCAACCGGGGAAGUGGCAUCGAUACGAGCGGCCUUGAGGGGGGUAGGGGGAUCUGGAACUUCCGGUGGAGCGGUGAAAUGCGUUGAGAUCGGAAGGAACGCCCGUGGCGAAAGCGAGGUCCUGGACCCUUUCUGACGCUGAGACGCGAAAGCCAGGGGAGCGAACGGGAUUAGAUACCCCAGUAGUCCCUGUCUCUUAUU
This 301-nucleotide ribosomal RNA is filed under the name uncultured bacterium. Its description in RNAcentral is "partial 16S ribosomal RNA". It matches the Rfam family "Bacterial small subunit ribosomal RNA", at positions 509 to 807 of the family's 1533-position model. The record is from RNAcentral.